AUUGAACGCUGGCGGCAUGCCUUACACAUGCAAGUCGAACGGCAGCACGGGUGCUUGCACCUGGUGGCGAGUGGCGAACGGGUGAGUAAUACAUCGGAACAUGUCCUGUAGUGGGGGAUAGCCCGGCGAAAGCCGGAUUAAUACCGCAUACGAUCCACGGAUGAAAGCGGGGGACCUUCGGGCCUCGCGCUAUAGGGUUGGCCGAUGGCUGAUUAGCUAGUUGGUGGGGUAAAGGCCUACCAAGGCGACGAUCAGGAGCUGGUCUGAGAGGACGACCAGCCACACUGGGACUGAGACACGGCCCAGACUCCUACGGGAGGCAGCAGUGGGGAAUUUUGGACAAUGGGCGAAAGCCUGAUCCAGCAAUGCCGCGUGUGUGAAGAAGGCCUUCGGGUUGUAAAGCACUUUUGUCCGGAAAGAAAUCCUUGGCUCUAAUACAGUCGGGGGAUGACGGUACCGGAAGAAUAAGCACCGGCUAACUACGUG
RNAcentral lists this ribosomal RNA (486 nucleotides) under uncultured bacterium. RNAcentral describes it as "partial 16S ribosomal RNA". It matches the Rfam family "Bacterial small subunit ribosomal RNA", at positions 30 to 507 of the family's 1533-position model. The record is from RNAcentral.